GCCAAUCGCGGCUUUGUGUUCUUAGCUGAUAAAGCAGCUCAGCCAAUGGGACCACUCUGGAGGCAAGGUUUGGUGUCAAAUAGCAUGCUAGAUUGAAUGCCUUUGACUGUUAAAGUGGAAGGAGGCUGCAGGGCUUCAUUGGAGCCUCGGAGUUUUUCACUGAGGCAGGGGUCAGCUGAAAGACAAAGAAAAAUGGCGAAUAGUUUGCUGGGGGGUGGGGGGACAGCUGUUCGGGCUUUCACUGGAGUGGACAUUCCAGACUCAGGUUUCUGCAUCUCCUGCUGCCUUUUGUUUCCUCCGUCCUUUUGGGGGGGAGGGAUAGGAGUGACUUAAAUUCUCCCUGUCCGAGGAGAUAUAAAUAACUACAUGUAAAAUUAAUGCAGUUCCCGCCAAAUAAAUGUUUCCCAGAGGAAUGAAGACAAAAACCUCUACUUCCAUAAAGAGCAAAGACCUGCAGCUAACUAUAACUUAGACUAAGCUUUAGGAACCUCUCAGAAUAAAAACUGGGAACCUCUUCUGAAGGGUGCCAAGACCUGCAGUAGACUGCAGGAAUGAUAAAGAGGAACUGGAUAUUAGAAUGGCAGCUAGACUGUCUCCCCUGGAGUGAUCUGAUUGAGUCAUCUCGUUUCCUCCAUGGUUUUCUCCUUAUCUUCCUGGCAGUGGAUGAUCAAGCAGAGUUGUCAGAAUGUCCACAGAAGGAGGAUUUGGUGGUACUAGCAGCAGUGAUGCCCAGCAAAGCUUGCAGUCCUUCUGGCCUCGUGUCAUGGAAGAAAUCCGGAAUUUGACAGUGAAAGAUUUCCGAGUACAGGAACUCCCACUGGCUCGUAUUAAGAAGAUUAUGAAACUGGAUGAAGAUGUGAAGAUGAUCAGUGCGGAAGCCCCCGUGCUCUUUGCCAAGGCGGCCCAGAUCUUUAUCACGGAGCUGACUCUGCGAGCCUGGAUCCACACGGAGGACAACAAGCGCCGGACUCUCCAGAGGAAUGAUAUCGCCAUGGCAAUUACAAAAUUUGAUCAGUUUGACUUUCUCAUCGAUAUUGUCCCAAGAGAUGAGCUGAAACCUCCAAAGCGUCAGGAGGAGGUGCGCCAGUCCGUGACUCCUGCCGAGCCCGUCCAGUACUACUUCACGCUGGCUCAGCAGCCCACUGCGGUCCAAGUCCAGGGGCAGCAGCAAGGCCAGCAGACCACCAGCUCCACGACCACCAUCCAGCCUGGGCAGAUCAUCAUUGCACAGCCUCAGCAGGGCCAGACCACACCCGUGACCAUGCAGGUCGGAGAAGGUCAGCAGGUGCAGAUCGUCCAGGCCCAGCCACAGGGUCAGGCCCAGCAAGCCCAGAGCGGCACCGGGCAGGCCAUGCAGGUGAUGCAGCAGAUCAUCACCAACACAGGGGAGAUCCAGCAGAUCCCGGUAAGCCGCCCGGCCUUGAGGUCUGCCGGACUCAACGGGAGAGAGUGGAGAGUUCGCACACGCCCGCACGCGCGCUCUUGGAGGAAGCGAUGCUCCUGUUACCCCAGACCACAGCUCGCUCCACUGCAGACAGGCUGCUUUCCUUCUCACCGCCACGGGCAGCUCCUCUCGGGUUGCCCGCACUCUGCCUGCGCCCAGAGAUGGCUGUAACCACCCUUCCGUGCCAGGGUCCGGAGGGCCUGUGAGGCGGUUCUGUCUUUUGAUUAGCGGAGAGUAAGAGGGAGGUGCAUAGAGAAGGCCAUAAAUACACUUGUUGCGUAUUCAUGAGUCAGUUCCCAGUGGAGCCUGCAGCAAAGUGUAUUUUUGGCUUUCAUUUAACUUCUCCAUUCCUUCACUGUGGACUGCUGCUUCCUAUGUGCCUUGAGGGAUUCUCAUUCUUAGAUCCGUUGGCUUUUUUUACUUGUACUUGUUCCUUUGUGAAAAAUGUCCUUGUCUUAAUACUUGCAAUCUAUUCAUUGGUCAAUUUGUCACCAAAAGAAAGAAAAAAUGUGGAAAGCGAGAGACACACAGCAGUCCUAUUCCUGCCCCUUGCCCUUCCUAUUAUAAAUGAAAUGUAGGCAGAGAAAGAAAUGCUCUUGAACUUAGGUAACCACUUCCCCUUUGAAGGAAGCUAGAAAUGUAUCCUCGACUCUGACUCUGGAGCUGUUCUUCAGUUAACAGAGGAAAGGUCCAGAGAGAGCUUAGGAAAGGGUAGCACGUGCGUCUCUCUGUGUCUGUCUCUUUCUUCCCCACCCCCUUCUCCCCCACCCCUUCUCCCUUUCCUUUGUGCAUGCGUGUGUGCAUGCGUGUGUGCGCCUGUGCACACACACGUCCCCAUCAAUCCCAGAUGUCCUGCCUCACUGGUUCAGCCGCCAGCUCAGGACGUCUCCCAUAAAUGGUUCUCCUUUUCGCUUGGGAAGGCACCAAAACAAGUUCUUCUAAGCCAGAGAAGAGUUCCCACUUUGUUGUAGCUUUAACUCAAGUCUUUCAAAGCCUCUUGGGGCAUACGGAAGAUUUGUUGCAGAUUCAGGCCUGGUCUGCACAGUAUGCCUUCCGCAGGCGACUGCGUUUCUAAACUCCGCGGAGUGCUCAUAAUCAGCCAUGACCUUCUGGAAGGAAGCCUUUCUCCUCUUGUGAAAGCCCAAGGGGUAGGCUUAUUUGCUCUGUAACUCAUGUUUAAACGCUGUGCGGGUCCCCAAGCCUGUCUGUGUGGUCAAGGACUGAGGGCAGAGCAUCACCGGAUGUCUAAACCUGAGCCUGAAUGAAGAGCUUGCUUCGAAGAACCCCCUGGAAUUGACUGGCUCAAGGCUUUUCAUUCGCAUUUGAGUUUCUGCAGAGAUCGCUUCUCAGCCGGGAAAUGUAAAAUCCCUGUGGCUGCAAUACACCUUCCCCACUCCCAGGGCAAGGCCUUAGUCUCUCAUCCCAUGUUCCUUGGCUGGAGUUCCGGUGACUCCUCGAACCAGCCACCCCUCAGGCACAGCAAGCGAGGUUUCCCAAGCCUCCACCCAGCUGUCUCCCUCCCCGCAAGCAACUUAAUGUUGCCUGCAAGCUGCGCUGUGGGAUACAGUGGGGCGUUUAGGCGUUAGCAUCACAGCUCCCCAGCAACUCCCCUUGGUGUUUGCUCAGGAGAGAAAUGACUGUAGGUCAAAAUAUCUUGCCCUAUCUUCUUUGAAUCAGCUUCUUUUUUUCUUUUCUUUCUUCUUUUCUUUUCUUUCUUUCUUUCUUUUUUGUUUUUUCUGUUUUUUUGCUUUUUAGGGCCCCACCUGUGGCAUAUGAAAGUUCACAGGCUAGGGGUCCAGUCGGCACGGCAGCUGCCAGUCUGCACCACAGCCACGGCAACAAGGGAUCCGAGACACAUCUGCGACCUACACCUCAGCUUGCAGCAACGCUGGAUCUAACCCACUGAGCAAGGCCAGGGAUCGAACCCGCAUCCUCAUGGAUACUUGUCAGGUUCAUUACCUCAGAGCCAUGACGGGAACUCCUGAACCAGUUUCUUAACAGGUGUAGAUUUUGUGUCCCUCUUUUGGGCCUUAAGCAGACAAUUCUGGAAUGGUCUAAGAACUUCAGUGUCCUUUCUUGGGGGCUGAAAUCCUCUUUGAAGUUUCAGAGAAGCAGUUUGAUGUAAUGCUGCAUCAUCCUGUCAGCAUUUCCCUCAUGGAAGUCAAAGCCGCUGCAAUGAAGUUCGCUCUUAAGACAAGGAAAAAAUUUCCUCCAGGACAAAGAGGCACAAUUCGCCAAUUACCCUCAGCCGCACACCCGCACGAGAAAAGCCCAGGCUGGGCAGCCAGAGCGGGUUGUGUCCGGGCCCCCAGGUAGAGACCUGAUGUGCUGGUCCUCCUGGAGCCUCUCGGCCCCACAUCCUCCCUGCUGACUGUUCUCUCUGCCGAGCUCCAGUUCCUCUCACGCUCUAGCUGCCUGGUCCUCUCCACGUCCCCCCGCUCGAAGCGCUCUGUGUGUGCGUGGUCCGCUGGAGCGUUAAGGGCCUGCGUGAAGGCUUUUCGCACGCAGUUAGAUGCAGCAUGUGGCGUUACUGUAUUAUCUGAGGCUCAGUCGUGAGCGCAUUCUGGUUGCUUUGGCUUCCCACGGUGGGGCUUUCUGUGAAAGGGUGAUUGAUUCGGCUUCCCCUGGGGAGGUGUUUGGCCAGAAGCUAGUGCUGAACACCAAGGAUCCUCAAGUCCUGCAGACCUCCGGUCCUGGCUCUGGGGCCCGAGACGGGAAAGCAGGCCGCGCUUUCUUCUAAGACGUGCAGCGUGAGGCCGGGCAGUUCUCGGGCUGUGGCACAGCGUGAUGGGACUGGCAGGUGCUGGGACUCUUCUCGGUAUUAGAUCAGCCAUCCUGGGAGUGGGAGAGGGUGGAGAUGGAGGGGGAAAGGCCCGCCCCUAAGGUGCAAGCAUUCUGAUAAUGUCACAUCGUCCUUGGCAUAAAAUCCUAAGAGAAACUGUGGGCGAAUGGCUAAGAGCCAGUACCAUCGAGGGUCCAUUCAUGCUGUCCUCACAUAUGUGACGAGACCUGCUGAGAAUUUUCCUCCAAUUCCAUUGAAGGAACAUCCUCUCUCUUGUGCUGGGUGACUCGUCAGGUAGGGAUGUUAAGGUUUUGCGUGUUUUCAUCUCUGUUAAAAGAAACUUUUCAACUAAAAAUAGAGUUGCCAUGUGAUCCUGCAGUCUCACUCCUGGACCUAUGUCCAGACAAAACUAUACCUAAAAAAGAUACACUCACCCCUGUGUUCAUAGCAGCACUGGUCACAACAGCCAAGACACGGAAACAACUUAAAUGCCCAUGGACAGAUGAUGGAUAAAGAUGUGGUGCAUGUAUGCAAUGGAAUACUACUCAGCCAUAAAAAAGAAGGAAAUAAUCCCACUGCAGUAAAAUGGAUGGAACUAGAGACUAUCAUACUAAGUCAAGUAAAUUAGAAAGAGAAAGACAAAUACCACAUGAUAUCACUUACACACAGAAUCUAAAAUGUGACACACAUGAAUUCAUCUAUGAAACGGAAAUAGACAGCAGACUUGGGGUUGUCAGGGGAGAGAGGAAGUUGGGGAGAGGGAUGAGUGGGAGUUUGGCAUUAGCAGAUGAAAAUGAAUAUAUGUACAUCUUUUUUUUUUUUUUCUUUUUAGGGCUGCACUUGCAGACUAUUGAAGUUCCCAGGCUAGGGGUCAAAUUGGAGCAGCAGCUUCCAGCCUGCAUCACAGCCAUGGCAACACAGGAUCCAAGCUGCAUCUGCAACCUACACCUCUGCUCACGGCAGUACCGGAUCCUUAACCCACUGAACAAGGCCAGGGAUCGAACCCCGCAUCCUCAUGGAUACUAGUUGGAUUCAUUACCGCUGAGCCACAAGGGGAACUCCGAGAACUGUUACAUGGGGAGUGGAUAAAACGGUCCUGCUGCAUAGCACGGGGAACUCUAUCCAGUGUCCUGUGAUAAACCACGAUGGAUAAGAAUAUAAAAGAGAAUGUGUGUACCUGUAGAGCCACGUCACUUAGCUGUGCAGCCGAAAUUAACACGGCAUUGUAAUCAGCUCCGUUUCAGUUUUGAAAAAGAACUUUUCAGGGUUGGCUUCUUGGGGGUGGGGGGCAGGUAGGGACAAUGACCACUUCUUGUCGUGGAAAGACCGCCUGUUUGAGGUUGUGCUCAGUCUCCUGUGGUCUGUUUGUCACUGCCCUGCCAUAGGUGCAGCUGAAUGCCGGCCAGCUACAGUAUAUCCGCUUAGCCCAGCCUGUAUCAGGCACCCAAGUUGUGCAGGGACAGAUCCAGACGCUUGCCACCAACGCUCAACAGAUCACACAGACGGAGGUCCAGCAGGGACAGCAGCAGUUCAGCCAGUUCACGGAUGGACAGCAGCUCUACCAGAUCCAGCAAGUCACCAUGCCUGCCGGCCAGGACCUCACCCAGCCCAUGUUCAUCCAGUCAGCCAGCCAGCCCUCCGACGGGCAGGCCCCCCAGGUGACCGGCGACUGAGGCCUGAGCUGGCGAGGCCGAGGACACCCAACACAAUUUUUGCCACACAGCCCUGGGCGACGGGCCCCGCCUCCCUCCCCAGAGGACCCUGCCGACCUCUGCGCCUCCUGCAGGCUCGGGCACUGGUGCACGACGCCCCGCGCCUGGGGGCCGAGAUUCUCCAGCAGAAAGAUGCAAUAUUUUUUAUUUCCUUCGUCCUCCCCCUUUUCUCCAAGGAAUCAAUAUUUCAGUCUGUUGAGCUGUGUGUCCGAUGCUAUGAAAUGAAAAUAUUAAAUAACAUAUUUAUGGCAUUUUCUCAAAGAUUGUGGUGGAAGAAAUAUUUCUUUUGUUUUUUUGGUCCUUCAGCGCCGCUUCUUUUAGGAGCACAUCUCCUCAGGGUGUGUAAUCUCCCGACUCUUAGGACAUCGCUGCCCCGGGGGUUUGCCGCCUUGUCCUGCCCUCGGGUUAGGUUAGGCGACCGUGUGUAGCUUCUUUUUCCCGUGCCCUGCUCUUGCCCCAGAGCUCUGUGGAUUUGCCUCUGGAAGCCAUGGAAACAUUCCUUGCGUUUAAGAGACGAACUCCUUCGCCAUGGAGAGAGGAUGGUUUCAUUCCCAGACCCUUCGCUUCCGGGGACCCGAGGAGACUGGAACUUUGCGCACUGGCCCCUUUCCCCCAUUUUUACGCUUAAAUACAUCAAAAAUUGUGCUCGUCUCCUUUGCUGCAUGGACUUCAAACUGCAUGAAAUGCAAUAAACCUCACUUUAGAUAAA
Molecule: non-coding RNA, 6647 nt
Organism: Sus scrofa (pig)
Lineage: Eukaryota; Metazoa; Chordata; Mammalia; Artiodactyla; Suidae
Source: RefSeq, a predicted model, not a curated record